Molecule: ribosomal RNA, 321 nt
Filed under: uncultured eukaryote
Lineage: Eukaryota
Description: partial 18S ribosomal RNA
Rfam family: Eukaryotic small subunit ribosomal RNA
Source: RNAcentral
GGAAAGUCCAAAAGGCGAAUCGCUCGUAGUUGAAUUCUGGAGAGGUAUUGGCUGAUCUUUUCAGUCUCUAAUCUUCUUCAUCCUUCUGUUAACUCUCUGCACUACGUGUUGGAGUAGAGCUCAGAUAUUUUACCUUGAGAAAAUUAGAGUGUUUCAGGCAGGCUAGGCCCCAAUACUACAGCGUGGAAAAAUAGAAUUGACAAUACUCUGUGGGUGCGCAGAAAGUGUUGAAAUGUUUAAAAAAAAACAGGGGGGGGGUUGGUUUUUUUUUUUUUCAGGGGGAAACCCCCGUUGUGUUUUAAUAUAAAAACGAAAAAUUUU